Long non-coding RNA from Pezoporus occidentalis (night parrot), 423 nucleotides. RefSeq lists it as uncharacterized. The record is from RefSeq and is a predicted model, not a curated record. NCBI's taxonomy places the organism in Eukaryota, Metazoa, Chordata, Aves, Psittaciformes, Psittacidae. The transcript has 3 exons.
ACCUGAAGCUGAGGCAGUGAUCAAUGAUUGUGAACCUUCAUGAAUUACUCAGCAAGAAAAAUAAUGAAGCUGACUUAUAUACUGUAAAACAUUGUUUACUUGUUGAUUUGGGCUUGAAGAGUUGUUGUCACAACAGCUGAGCCUGCCUACCAGUCUGCCUCUUGCCUGUGUCAUUCCUCCCACUCCACAUUGUAAACUACUGGUGGAUUUUAGCUAAGUUGAAAGAGAAGUGGAGAACAGAGAAGUAACACAUUUCCUGCCAGCUCUGUAAACCAAACACAUGGGGACAUAAGCAAGACCACAGAAAGAACCACCUCUCUUUUACCUUGUAACAAAACACUCCAUGUAGAAGACUGUCCUGGCUUAUCAAUGGCCCAGUUUGAGAUAGCCUUCAGUGAGCACUCCUGGUUACAAUGAGUCUAC